This 117-nucleotide ribosomal RNA is filed under the name Sinocyclocheilus grahami. The record is from RNAcentral. Lineage: Eukaryota; Metazoa; Chordata; Actinopteri; Cypriniformes; Cyprinidae.
GCCGGCAGCCAUAUCACCCUGUAGCCCAAGACUGGUUGCCCACUGAAGCUAAGCAGGGCUGAGCCUGGUCAGUACCUGAAUGGGAGACCUCCUGGGAAAACUAGGUUGCUGCUGGAA